AAUAGAUACCCAGGUAGUCUUGGCUGUAAACGGUGCGCAUUUGCUGUAAACGGAAUCGACCCCGUUUGUGGCGAAGCUAACGCGAUAAAUGCGCCGCCUGGGAAGUACGGUCGCAAGAUUAAAACUCAAAGAAAUUGACGGGGGCCUGCACAAGCGGUGGAGUAUGUGGCUUAAUUCGAUGCAACGCGAAGAACCUUACCUGGCCUUGACAUGCAAGUGGUAGAACCAUGAAAGUGGGACGACCCCGCAAGGGGAGCUUGCACAGGUGCUGCAUGGCUGUCGUCAGCUCGUGUCGUGAGAUGUUGGGUUAAGUCCCGCAACGAGCGCAACCCUUGUGUCCUGUUGCCACUCCUUCGAGAGAAGGAAGCACUCUGGACAGACUGCCUCGCUUAAACGAGGAGGAAGGUGGGGAUGACGUCAAGUCAGUAUGGCCCUUACGGCCAGGGCUGCACACGUACUACAAUGCGCGGCACAGAAGGAAGCUAGACCGUCAGGUGGAGCAAAUCCCGAAAACCGCGCCC
Molecule: ribosomal RNA, 521 nt
Filed under: uncultured bacterium
Lineage: Bacteria
Description: bacterial SSU rRNA
Rfam family: Bacterial small subunit ribosomal RNA
Source: RNAcentral